Molecule: long non-coding RNA, 654 nt
Filed under: Pan troglodytes (chimpanzee)
Lineage: Eukaryota; Metazoa; Chordata; Mammalia; Primates; Hominidae
Description: lincRNA
Source: RNAcentral
GGAGACAGGCCACAUUUGGGCAGUACGCAUUCGGAGGGCUCUCUGGCUUUCCGAUCUUGGGUCGCUGUACUUGGCUCUGAAUACAGUCACCCCAUCAGAGUAGCAAAACACUGUGGUUGUAGUGUGAGAAUCCAAUGUUAAUGUUGGCCGAAAGCUCUUGAUUUUCUCCCCUGAGAACAUAGGCGUGACGAUUUGGAUGUGUUUCCAAAUGCUUGUUACUCUUUGCCGUAAACCUGGAAUUUGGACCUAUGGCUGCCUGGGACUCAUACUGUCGUGGAGAAAGAUUGAAAAGUAGUUAAUGGCAGUGGUGGUAUGAAGGUGAUGCCACACUCAAUCAGAAACUAUGCUACUGCUGAAGAGGUAUAUUGAGCCCUGCCUGGUUAACCUCCAGUGAGGUUAUUAGAGAAUUGGGAGAGGCUCAAAUCAGCAUCCUGCACCUAGUUAUCAAACCAUUGUGAAUUCUUGAUUCCUGGAUGGCCAGAAAACUUGUCAUUGGUCAAGAGCAACAUUAAGAUCUGCCUGUUACUCAUACUGAUGCUUCCUGCCCAGCAAGUUCAUCAGAGGGCGAGGAUGAAUUACGGUUGCCAUGAAUGUCCUUGUGAGGCAGUUGGGAAGCCUUGGCUGGAUUGUGAAGGAUAUUUGAAAAGUAUUUUA